UUGGGCCGGGUUAAGAUUAGAUCUCAGAAAUCCUUUCGGCCCGAUUUAGCCAACAUAUUUGUUGUGAUUAGACAGGGCUUGUAUUGUUUUGGGCCUGGCAGGCUUCAUUUGGUGUCAGUCUUGUAAUACUGUCUUUACUGUGUCAAAAUGGAAAAUCACACUUUUGUAAAUUUCAUUUAUACAUGGGUCAAACACAACACACUCGGUCCGUAUCUACAAGAGCCAUUGAACAUGGUUUAUAUUUAAUGUAGGUUCUUAUGAUCUUCUUAAACUCGUAAAAUGUUUAUUCUUAAAAACACACAUGAUUAAAUUAAUUUUUAUUUAUGUUAGAUUGGUACCUUGGUUGCUGUUUGGUAUAGAUUUUUUACAAUUUUCUUAUUUUUCUAUCUCUAUUAUUCUAUCAUAUGAGUGAAUAGUGAUAACAUCUUCUAGCUUUAUCACAUUUCUUCUUUCUAGAGCUCAAAAAAAAUUGCCGGUGCAUUUUGCACGAAUAUAAAUAGAUUAGGGAUUUUUGUAUUUUGAUAUCAAAAUCAAAUUGGAAAUAGGUAAUCGAAAAUGAAAUGAAAUCAUAUUUUUUAUAAAUUAAAAUAUAUAUUAUACAUUGUUUUUUUUAAAUGAUUUAUUUAACAAAACUUUUAAAAUAUUAAAAAUAAUUGUAAUUUUUUUUAAAUAAAAUCUGUCACAGUUCAACAAAAAGAAGAAAGUGCGUGUAAUAGGAAGAUAAAAUACUAUCGUCCUAGAUGAAUCAAUAGGUUUGUUAGUACUUAACUCAAUUUUUUUCUCAAGAAGCAUAUUAUUUCUCAAAAACAGUAGUUGGUGAGAAAGAAAAUCUACCUACGAGUCAAUAAUACAGGGGGGUUGGUGAGAAGAAAAUCCAAUCUCCGUUGGCAGCUUCUCCUCUUCAUGUCUGAAAGUCUUCUCCUCUUCAUCUGGUGUUGGUGACUAAGAAAAUCUCCUCCUCGCCCGAUGUAGAUCUCGUUGUCGUCAAAAGUUUUGGUAAAAUUUGAAGAAGAUUUAGGGUUUGUGAGAGUAAAAAAAGAAAACGAUUGUGGGAGAGUUUGGGGGAAAUGUAUUUUAAGGAUUUAUAUUUAAUUAAUUUAUGAGUCUAAUAUUUAACUCAUGAAUCUAAUUGAUUAAUUCAUGAGUCUAAUUGAUUAAUUGAUAAGUUUAAUUAGUUAAUUAAUUCAUUAGUGUAAUUUUUAACUUAUGUGUUUAAUUGACGAAAAAUCCGUCAUAUUAUGUUUUAUGAAUCGUGGU
Molecule: long non-coding RNA, 1257 nt
Filed under: Zostera marina
Lineage: Eukaryota; Viridiplantae; Streptophyta; Magnoliopsida; Alismatales; Zosteraceae
Description: long non-coding RNA (ZMAR_LNC003644)
Source: RNAcentral